GAUGAACGCUGGCGGCGUGCCUAAUACAUGCAAGUCGAGCGAACGGACGAGAAGCUUGCUUCUCUGAUGUUAGCGGCGGACGGGUGAGUAACACGUGGAUAACCUACCUAUAAGACUGGGAUAACUUCGGGAAACCGGAGCUAAUACCGGAUAAUAUUUUGAACCGCAUGGUUCAAAAGUGAAAGACGGUCUUGCUGUCACUUAUAGAUGGAUCCGCUCUGCAUUAGCUAGUUGGUAAGGUAACGGCUUACCAAGGCAACGAUGCAUAGCCGACCUGAGAGGGUGAUCGGCCACACUGGAACUGAGACACGGUCCAGACUCCUACGGGAGGCAGCAGUAGGGAAUCUUCCGCAAUGGGCGAAAGCCUGACGGAGCAACGCCGCGUGAGUGAUGAAGGUCUUCGGAUCGUAAAACUCUGUUACUAGGGAAGAACAUAUGUGUAAGUAACUGUGCACAUCUUGACGGUACCUAAUCAGAAAGCCACGGCUAACUACGUG
This 497-nucleotide ribosomal RNA is filed under the name uncultured bacterium. Its description in RNAcentral is "partial 16S ribosomal RNA". It matches the Rfam family "Bacterial small subunit ribosomal RNA", at positions 28 to 507 of the family's 1533-position model. The record is from RNAcentral.